GCUUUCUCCCAGGUUUGGACUGGGGGUUAGCCGACGCCCUGUGAGUUACCGCUCACGGGGCGUUCAACAUUUUUCAGGU
RNAcentral lists this antisense RNA (79 nucleotides) under Corynebacterium glutamicum. RNAcentral describes it as "ctRNA". It matches the Rfam family "ctRNA". Rfam says of the family: Rolling circle replication plasmids contain a number of mechanisms to maintain a low copy number. One of these methods is to transcribe a small RNA called ctRNA (for counter-transcribed RNA) than is transcribed on the opposite strand to RepB the replication initiation protein. ctRNA binds to the mRNA of repB and causes translational inhibition. Lineage: Bacteria; Bacillati; Actinomycetota; Actinomycetes; Mycobacteriales; Corynebacteriaceae. The record is from Rfam by way of RNAcentral.